Molecule: ribosomal RNA, 429 nt
Filed under: Verrucomicrobiota bacterium
Lineage: Bacteria; Pseudomonadati; Verrucomicrobiota
Description: Verrucomicrobia bacterium partial 16S ribosomal RNA
Rfam family: Bacterial small subunit ribosomal RNA
Source: RNAcentral
UAGGGAAUCUUCCGCAAUGGACGAAAGUCUGACGGAGCAACGCCGCGUGAGUGAAGAAGGAUUUCGGUUCGUAAAACUCUGUUGUUAGGGAAGAAAAAAUGUAUAGUAACUAUAUACAAAAGAGACGGUACCUAACCAGAAAGCCACGGCUAACUACGUGCCAGCAGCCGCGGUAAUACGUAGGUGGCAAGCGUUGUCCGGAAUUAUUGGGCGUAAAGCGCGCGCAGGUGGUUUAGAAAGUCUGAUGUGAAAGCCCACGGCUCAACCGUGGAGGGUCAUUGGAAACUAAUAAACUUGAGUGCAGGAGAGAAAAGUGGAAUUCCUAGUGUAGCGGUGAAAUGCUUAGAUAUCAUGACGAACUCCGAUUGCGCAGGCAGCUUACUGUAGCAUAACUGACGCUGAUGCUCGAAAGUGCGGGUAUCAAACAGG